Molecule: ribosomal RNA, 1309 nt
Filed under: bioreactor sludge metagenome
Description: bacterial LSU rRNA
Rfam family: Bacterial large subunit ribosomal RNA
Source: RNAcentral
GGGCCAGACGCGAAACCUUGUGAUCUACCGUUGGUCAGACUGAAGGGCGGGUAAGACCGCCUGGAGGGUCGAACGGGUGACCGUUGAAAAGGUCUCCGAUGAACUGACGGGAGGACUCAAAGUGUAAUCAAACUGGGAGAUAGCUCGUUCUCUCCGAAAUAACUUUAGGGUUAGCCUCAGAAUGCAGACAUUGGGGGUAGAGCUACUGGAUGAGGCAGGGGGUCUACCCGACUACCCUCCUCAACCAAACUCCGAAUACCAAUGUCCAAGCUCUGGGAGAUAGACGGUGAGUGACAAUAUCCAUCGUCAAAAGGAGAACAAUCCAGACCACCAGCUAAGGUCCCUCAAAUGUGCUUAGUUCGAAAGGAAGUUGGGUUGCUGUGACAUCCAGGAUGUUGGCUUAGAAGCAGCCAUCAUUUAAAGAGUGCGUAACAGCUCACUGGACGAGGAACUCAGCGCCGAUAAUGAUCGGGAAUAAGCACGUUGCCGAAGCUGUGGGAGUCGAAAGACUCGGUAGGAGAGCGUUCUUGGCCGCGGCGAAGCGAUUCCGGAAGGGGUCGUGGAGCGCCAAGAAGUGAAGAUGUCGGCUUGAGUAACGAUUAACAAGGUGAGAAUCCUUGUCGCCGAAUACCCAAGGUUUCCUGGGCAAGGUAAAUCCGCCCAGGGUUAGCCGGGACCUAAGGCAAGGCCGAAAGGCGUAGUCGAUGGACGUGCGGUCAAUAUUCCGCAGCACGCGUGGAGAUCAAAUCACGUUUCGGAUUCCAAAGCUCGACGGGGCUGUAAGAUGCCCAGGCCCUUGUGGCCGAUGUCGGGUGGCGGGGUUCCUAGAAAAGGCGUGAGGGCAAGACGCGUCCCGUACCAAAACUGACACAGGUGGGUGUGGCGAAUAGCCUCAGGCGCUCGAGAGAACGGUCGUGAAGGAACUAGGCAAGUUAACCCCGUAAGUUCGCAAGAAGGGGGGCCUACUCCGCAAGGAGAGGCCGCAGAGAAAAGGGUCUGGGAACUGUUUAUCAAAAACACAGCUCUGUGCUAAGACGCAAGUCGAUGUAUACAGAGUGACGCUUGCCCGAUGCCGGAAUGUCAAGAGAGUGGGUCAUCGAAAGAGAAGCUCGCGAUCGAAGCACCGGUGAAUGGCGGCCGUAACUAUGACGGUCCUAAGGUAGCGAAGUUCCUUGUCGGGUAAGUUCCGACGCGCAUGAAUAGCGUAAUCACUGGAGCACUGUCUCCACGACCGACUCGGUGAAAUAGUAGUGGCGGUGAAGAUGCCGCCUACCCGCAGCAAGACGGAAAGACCCCGUGGACCUUCACU